UCAAAAAUGGAGGAGUAACGACAUGUAAACACGUAAUUUGACGUCUAAAUCAACGCCGUGUAAACCAACUUAGACCUAACUUCAGUAAAAUACAUCUUUCGUCGAAUUCUUGAUUUUAUUAUUAAGUUUUGAGAACUACAUCGCGUAUUUGUGAAAUCAUUCGCCAGUUUCCAGCGCCAGAAGAUUUCAAAGAUUGUGGAUCUGUGGGCAAACUGGCAAACCACAGAGACGUCAUUCACCUGAGAGAGAGAGGGAGAGAGAGAGAGAGACUGCAGAAAGAGACAGAGGCAAGAUUAUGGUGAUUUAGGGUCAUAAUGACGAAGGCAAAUAUUUGUUCGGUCUGUAUGAAAAGAGCUGAAUGAAGUCUCACACUGCCGGCAUCACAGGAAUCUUGGAAAAAGGAGAGAACGAGGGAAGAAGUCAUCAGAAAGAGUGCAGAGAAAGGAGAGAUAUUCAGUAAGACAGAGGGAUAAAAAGUAUUUUAUUAUUAAUUAAUAUGGUAUGAAUCCCCCUAGUGGCCCGUCAUGUAUUUGCAUUUGCCAAUCAUUCAGAUUUACACUGGAUUACUGCUAGAUAUUUUCCUAUUUGCAGAGAAAAUGUUUGCUAUGUGUGUUCAUGAAUAUUCAAAAAUGCCUCUUGAAUACUUCCAUCCAUGAACAGAAACCUGCUGUAGAAAUUAGUAAAGCGGCAUUACUGAGUU
Molecule: long non-coding RNA, 700 nt
Organism: Labeo rohita (rohu)
Lineage: Eukaryota; Metazoa; Chordata; Actinopteri; Cypriniformes; Cyprinidae
Exons: 3
Source: RefSeq, a predicted model, not a curated record